CGCCGGCGCUGCCCCGCUCCCGGGGCUCGCAGCUCCCCGGGCGGACCUGUUGCCGUGCGGCCCCGGUGCCGCCGGCCGGUGAGACUCUUACACUGAAGGCGGGCGGGCGGUGCCAUGAUGUAAUGCUGCCGCACUGCCCGGAGCGGCCGCUGCCGUUGGCCGAGGCGCGGAGUCCCCGCCCGGGCACUCCGCCCGCCGCCCCCCCGGCGGGCCAUAAAAGCCCCGAGGCUGAGGCAGGGCAGCUUCCCCGGCCCCUCCGCCGCUCAGGUGAGCCGGGCGCAGGUGAGCCCCGCAGGUGCGGAGGCGGCUCGGGGACGCUGCGAGGGUUCCUCGGCCACCUGUGGAGCCGCUCCCGCCUCUACCGGGCGGCUCCGCGGGUGCGGGGAGCGCUCGCUCGGGGGACGGGGCCGCUGUCCCCCGGGGCGGGCGAUCCCGAGCGGAUCCCCGCGGAUCAGCACCACGGACAGCGGCCGGCGGGGCCGCACCGGGACGCGAGCCCCGCACCGGGAGCCGGCCCCGCGGGCAGGACUCUCCCGGGACAUCACCGCCCACCGGAGGCACCGAGGAUGGAUGCUCGCCGGGCCGGAUCUCAUAGAUGGAUCCAACCCAGAGGUCUCUGAAGAACAGGGGACUCAGGUUCUCACCCAGCGCUGACGAUGGCGGGCUCAGAGCUCUGGGCAGGUUCUGUGUGACCUCAGGAGGGGCUGCACAGGCAGGAAUGAACCCCCGUUCCCUGCGAGGAAUCCCCAGGGUCCCAGCAGGAUGCAUUAACAGCACGUCUCUCCAGUGAGCCGUGAUGGGAACAGCACGGAGCAAAAAAAAAAGAGGAGCGGAGAAGCGAUCUCUCGAAGGAUCCUGGCUGGCAGCAGCAUCACCAUCUGACUGAAGAGAGAACUCAGCCACACGCAUAAUCCUGGGGAAAAUUCAUCUCCACCCUCCCGCAGACCCCGAUACUUCAGAUAAAAGAGCGAGUGCAUCUGGUCACCAUGGCAACACGAGAGCCAGCGGGGAGAGGAAAUGUCACCGUGUCUGUGCCUUGACCUGCACACAAACAGCCUGGCAGCUGGGGGUGGCACUGCCUGCGCUCACAGGGGACAGGGACGCUCCCAGGCUGGAUAUUCACAGCCAGGAAUGCCCUGACACACCACAUGUGUGUCAGAUGGAACUCGUGGGGCUUUUUCUGGGUGCAAACGUGAUGAACUCGUGCCCAGAGUUGUGUUUCCACAGCCCUGAAGGGAGAGGUUGGACUUGGUGGUCCUGGAGGGCUUUUCCAAGCUGAAGGGUUCCUGGUUCCUCCUGCCCUUGCUCAGCCCAGACACCCUGCAGGUGUUCAAGGCACCUUUGCCCCUUUUCUUCUCAAACACAAAGUCGCUGUGCCACAGAAUUCCAGGAAGUUUUGGGACGGGGGGACCUCAAAGCCCACCCAGCCUCACCCCAGCCAUGGCAGGGACACCUCCCACUGUCCCAGGGUGCUCCAAGCCCAAUGUCCAGCCUGGCCUUGGACAUUACAGGGAUCCAGGGGCAGCCCCAGCUGCUGUGGGAAUCCCAUCCCAGCCUGCCAGGGAACAAUCCCCGGGCACAGACCUGCAGUGGGAAUUGUGCCACGGACACUCUGCUCCAGGAGCAGCUGCUGCUGCUCCCGGGGACUUGCAGAAGCUGCUGGAGUGAAAAUUGGGCUCCUGCUGCCUGUUAUGCAAAAGCAGUUUCUUAGCAACAAAAGUGAUAUUCUGUGUGAAGGCAACAGGCAUCAGUGGGAUAAUCCACUGUAAUUCCAGACAAGACCUAAAACGGGUGGAUGGACUGAAUAAUAAUAAUCAUGACAGACAGAAUAAUAAUAAUGGAAAUAAUGAGACUAAGCUUAUUUCCCUGGGUAGGAAAAACCCAGCUAUAAAUAAAAUACAAUGGGAGAAACCCUGUGCCAGUUCUCUGUAUAAAGAUUAGGGACACCUAAACUCAAUUUAUGCCCUAAAAAUAGACUGUGGUGAGUAAAGCUU
This is a long non-coding RNA of Zonotrichia leucophrys gambelii, 1994 nucleotides long. RefSeq lists it as uncharacterized. The transcript is spliced from 6 exons. Lineage: Eukaryota; Metazoa; Chordata; Aves; Passeriformes; Passerellidae. The record is from RefSeq and is a predicted model, not a curated record.